AAUCAAAAAAACUUAGCUUAAAGUACUCAGCACUAAGUGAGUGGAAGUCUCAAGAUUAGUUAGGUAUCCUGUUUCGCUUCCACUUUAGUGAUUUGGGAUCGGGCAGAGAGAAAGUACAAGAGAGGAACCUAAAGAGUCAUGAACGAGGGAGAGAAACCCGUGCAUUGGAACAAUGGACUCGCCUACGGACUGACUUUUGGCACCUGAUGACCAGUCACUGUGUUCUUCCCUGGAGAGGAUCAACCCACUCGUUUCCAGGUGUUUAGUGUUUCAUAUGAUGCUUUGUAUAGUGAUGAGGCCUCAUGGGCUUUCCCCUGCUCAUUUGACAUGUCCACUGGUGUCUUCUUGCUUUGGGAAGCCAACUAUUAAAUUUUUGUACAACUUUUGUUAAAAAAAAUGCUAUUUUGUAUACAUUUAAAAAAUACUUCAUGAUUAAAAAACAUUGACUGAGCCACAAUAA
Rattus norvegicus (Norway rat) is the source of this 460-nucleotide non-coding RNA. NCBI's taxonomy places the organism in Eukaryota, Metazoa, Chordata, Mammalia, Rodentia, Muridae. The record is from RefSeq and is a predicted model, not a curated record.